GACGAACGCUGGCGGCGUGCUUAACACAUGCAAGUCGAGCGAUGAAGUUUUUUCGGAAAUGGAUUAGCGGCGAACGGGUGAGGAACACGUGAAGAAUCUGCCCUCCACUUUGGGAUAACACAGGGAAACCUGUGCUAAUACCGAAUAUUGAAACAUAAGUGGCAUCACUGAGUUUUGAAAGAAUUUCGGUGGAGGAUGACUUCGCGGCCUAUCAGCUAGUUGGUGAGGUAAUGGCUCACCAAGGCAACGACGGGUAGCCGGCCUGAGAGGGCGACCGGCCACACUGGGACUGGGACACGGCCCAGACUCCUACGGGAGGCAGCAGUGGGGAAUAUUGGGCAAUGGAGGAAACUCUGACCCAGCGACGCCGCGUGCGGGAUGAAGGCCUUCGGGUUGUAAACCGCUUUCAGUAGGAAAGAAGCGGAAGUGACGGUACCUACAAAAGAAGCACCGGCUAACUAUGUGCCAGCCGCCGCGGUAA
Molecule: ribosomal RNA, 481 nt
Filed under: uncultured bacterium
Lineage: Bacteria
Description: partial 16S ribosomal RNA
Rfam family: Bacterial small subunit ribosomal RNA
Source: RNAcentral